Molecule: ribosomal RNA, 448 nt
Filed under: uncultured bacterium
Lineage: Bacteria
Description: bacterial SSU rRNA
Rfam family: Bacterial small subunit ribosomal RNA
Source: RNAcentral
GAACGGCAGCGCGGGAGCAAUCCUGGCGGCGAGUGGCGAACGGGUGAGUAAUACAUCGGAACGUGCCCAAUCGUGGGGGAUAACGCAGCGAAAGCUGUGCUAAUACCGCAUACGAUCUACGGAUGAAAGCAGGGGAUCGCAAGACCUUGCGCGAAUGGAGCGGCCGAUGGCAGAUUAGGUAGUUGGUGGGGUAAAGGCUCACCAAGCCAACGAUCUGUAGCUGGUCUGAGAGGACGACCAGCCACACUGGGACUGAGACACGGCCCAGACUCCUACGGGAGGCAGCAGUGGGGAAUUUUGGACAAUGGGCGCAAGCCUGAUCCAGCCAUGCCGCGUGCAGGAUGAAGGCCUUCGGGUUGUAAACUGCUUUUGUACGGAACGAAAAGUCUCUUUCUAAUAAAGAGGGAUCAUGACGGUACCGUAAGAAUAAGCACCGGCUAACUACGUG